GUGGAGAUGUCUGCUUGGCCUCUUUUGGCACUAGCACAUUUUUGCUUUUGUCUCUCUGCUCUGAGCAAUCAUGUGUAGUGCCAAUAUGGGAAAAGCUGGAAUUGUCAGC
This is a non-coding RNA of Ornithorhynchus anatinus (platypus), 109 nucleotides long. RefSeq annotates it as microRNA mir-96. The transcript has a single exon. NCBI's taxonomy places the organism in Eukaryota, Metazoa, Chordata, Mammalia, Monotremata, Ornithorhynchidae. The record is from RefSeq and is marked provisional.